AGCCUAGCUCUAGCCCAACCCCCACAACCAAGCACACCCAAAAAUCCACUUACCCAUUAAACUAAAACAUUCUCCCAUCCUAGUAUAGGCGAUAGAAAAGACUAUCAGGCGCGAUAGAGACCCGUACCGUAAGGGAAAGAUGAAAUAGCAAUGAAUAAGCCAAGCAAUAAACAGCAAAGAUAAACCCUUGUACCUCUUGCAUCAUGAUUUAGCAAGAACAACCAAGCAAAGCGAACUUAAGCUUGCCACCCCGAAACCCAAGCGAGCUACUUACGAGCAGCUAUCCUUUGAGCGAACCCGUCUCUGUUGCAAAAGAGUGGGACGAC
Molecule: ribosomal RNA, 326 nt
Filed under: Ptilinopus magnificus
Lineage: Eukaryota; Metazoa; Chordata; Aves; Columbiformes; Columbidae
Description: partial 16S ribosomal RNA
Source: RNAcentral